Molecule: ribosomal RNA, 497 nt
Filed under: uncultured bacterium
Lineage: Bacteria
Description: partial 16S ribosomal RNA
Rfam family: Bacterial small subunit ribosomal RNA
Source: RNAcentral
GAUGAACGCUGGCGGCGUGCCUAAUACAUGCAAGUCGAGCGAACGGACGAGAAGCUUGCUUCUCUGAUGUUAGCGGCGGACGGGUGAGUAACACGUGGAUAACCUACCUAUAAGACUGGGAUAACUUCGGGAAACCGUAGCUAAUACCGGAUAAUAUUUUGAACCGCAUGGUUCAAAAGUGAAAGACGGUCUUGCUGUCACUUAUAGAUGGAUCCGCGCUGCAUUAGCUAGUUGGUAAGGUAACGGCUUACCAAGGCAACGAUGCAUACCCGACCUGAGAGGGUGAUCGGCCACACUGGAACUGAGACACGGUCCAGACUCCUACGGGAGGCAGCAGUAGGGAAUCUUCCGCAAUGGGCGAAAGCCUGACGGAGCAACGCCGCGUGAGUGAUGAAGGUCUUCGGAUCGUAAAACUCUGUUAUUAGGGAAGAACAUAUGUGUAAGUAACUGUGCACAUCUUGACGGUACCUAAUCAGAAAGCCACGGCUAACUACGUG